GGGACCAGAAGGUCCCG
This 17-nucleotide unclassified non-coding RNA is filed under the name synthetic construct. The record is from RNAcentral.